GACGAACGCUGGCGGCGUGCUUAACACAUGCAAGUCGAACGGAAGGGCCUGCUUUCCCUUGUGGAUUGCGGGUACUCGAGUGGCGAACGGGUGAGUAACACGUGAGUGAUCUGCCCCCAACUUGGGUAUAAGCCUGGGAAACUGGGUCUAAUUCCCGAUAGGACUGCAGGGUGGUGCCUGUGGUGGAAAACGAUUUUCUAGUGGUUGGGGAUGAGCUCGCGGCCUAUCAGCUUGUUGGUGGGGUAAUGGCCUACCAAGGCGGCGACGGGUAGCCGGCCUGAGAGGGUGGACGGCCACAUUGGGACUGAGAUACGGCCCAGACUCCUACGGGAGGCAGCAGUGGGGAAGAUUGCACAAUGGGCGGAAGCCUGAUGCAGCGACGCCGCGUGGGGGAUGACGGCCUUCGGGUUGUAAACUCCUUUCGACCGCGAGGAAGCCACCUGGUUGGAAGGGUGGUGACGGUAGUGGUAGAAGAAGCACCGGCUAACUACGUG
RNAcentral lists this ribosomal RNA (494 nucleotides) under uncultured bacterium. Its description in RNAcentral is "partial 16S ribosomal RNA". It matches the Rfam family "Bacterial small subunit ribosomal RNA", at positions 28 to 507 of the family's 1533-position model. The record is from RNAcentral.